CCUACGGGAGGCAGCAGUGGGGAAUUUUGGACAAUGGGCGAAAGCCUGAUCCAGCAAUGCCGCGUGAGUGAAGAAGGCCUUCGGGUUGUAAAGCUCUUUUGUCAGGGAAGAAACGGUGAAAGCUAAUAUCUUUUGCUAAUGACGGUACCUGAAGAAUAAGCACCGGCUAACUACGUGCCAGCAGCCGCGGUAAUACGUAGGGUGCAAGCGUUAAUCGGAAUUACUGGGCGUAAAGCGUGCGCAGGCGGUUUUGUAAGUCUGAUGUGAAAUCCCCGGGCUCAACCUGGGAAUUGCAUUGGAGACUGCAAGGCUAGAAUCUGGCAGAGGGGGGUAGAAUUCCACGUGUAGCAGUGAAAUGCGUAGAUAUGUGGAGGAACACCGAUGGCGAAGGCAGCCCCCUGGGUCAAGAUUGACGCUCAUGCACGAAAGCGUGGGGAGCAAACAGGAUUAGAUACCCUGGUAGUCCACGCCCUAAACGAUGUCUACUAGUUGUCGGGUCUUAAUUGACUUGGUAACGCAGCUAACGCGUGAAGUAGACCGCCUGGGGAGUACGGUCGCAAGNUUAAAACGUCAAAGGAUUGACGG
Molecule: ribosomal RNA, 585 nt
Filed under: uncultured bacterium
Lineage: Bacteria
Description: bacterial SSU rRNA
Rfam family: Bacterial small subunit ribosomal RNA
Source: RNAcentral